UACGUAGGCGGGGCAAUUAGUCAGUGGUGAAAUCCUGCGGCUUAACCGUAGAACUGCCAUUGAUACUGUUGCCCUUGAGUAUAGUUGAGGUGGGCGGAAUGUGUAAUGUAGCGGUGAAAUGCAUAGAGAUUACACAGAACACCAAUUGCGAAGGCAGCUCACUAAGCUAUAACUGACGCUGAGGCACGAAAGCGUGGGGAGCGAACAGGAUUAGAUACCCUGGUAGUCC
RNAcentral lists this ribosomal RNA (229 nucleotides) under uncultured bacterium. RNAcentral describes it as "partial 16S ribosomal RNA". It matches the Rfam family "Bacterial small subunit ribosomal RNA", at positions 568 to 796 of the family's 1533-position model. The record is from RNAcentral.